UGCGAGAGUGGCGGAACUGGUAGACGCGCAGGAUUUAGGUUCCUGAGCCGAAAGGCGUGAGGGUUCGAGUCCCUCCUCUCGCAU
RNAcentral lists this transfer RNA (84 nucleotides) under Tautonia plasticadhaerens. RNAcentral's name for it is "Planctomycetes bacterium ElP tRNA-Leu". It matches the Rfam family "tRNA". From Rfam's summary of the family: Transfer RNA (tRNA) molecules are approximately 80 nucleotides in length. Their secondary structure includes four short double-helical elements and three loops (D, anti-codon, and T loops). Lineage: Bacteria; Pseudomonadati; Planctomycetota; Planctomycetia; Isosphaerales; Isosphaeraceae. The record is from RNAcentral.